CCACGACUCUGUGGUGCCCCCGCCGUGGACCAGGACCCCAGAUACCGAGUUGGCAACUUGCUGUGCCGGGCUGCCGCUGCUGUCCCUAACCCAGGGAGCAGCACCGACCGGAGAGGUGGCCAGAUGACCCUCAGAAGGUCAGUGUGCCAGCAGCCUCUCUCUGUACCUGAGGGACACCCACAACCCAUUGGCUGUACUUACUCUGAUGCCUUAAGAGACUUUGCUGUCACUGUGCCUGUCCACCCAGGGCACAAGGCUAGCUCUCCAGAGUGACCCACCACAGUCACACAGCCAGCCGUGCAGCAAGGAGGGCGUUGCUGCUGCCCUGAGGCCACUGUUUAUAGGAGCACCGGAGGCCAGGAAGGAAGUCACCCGCCUGAGCUGUCAGACUGGAUAUUUCAUCCCUGUGGGCUCCUGUCACCCUGCUGGCCGGCAGAGUCACGGGAUCCACUUGUGGGAACCUGAUCCAAGGAUCCAGUUGAGAGAAAAACAUCUCCACAAGGCCACAGGCCAGGGCUAAAAGGACUGAAUCCAGUUAUUCUCCUCCAGGAAACAAUUCCUACAUCUGACACUGGGACUGGAGAGGGACCCGGUCCACCAGAGCUGCCUCAGGCAACAAGCAAGCAGGGAUCCCCAGGGAAGCCACUGCAGCUGGGCCCAAAGGACACCUGCUAAGCAAAGUCACAGGCAGCGGACGUGGGCCAGGCUGGACCCUGUCUCCAGACCAGAGCUCUCCAGCUUACACAGCCUCCGGAAGUCUGUCAUGGGUCAGAGGCACCAGCACCCAGGCCAAGAGGCCCUGUGGGUCACCCCUGCAGCUGCACUGACCACACCAGUGACCACCUGUCUCUCCAAGCAAGUGUGAACACUUGACCCUGCCCUUGAGGUCCCUACACCCUACCAAAGGCACUGAGAGUACACGGUGGCUGUUUCUGUCAUCACUCCUGCUUCCAAGGCUCUUCAAGAAGCCAGGAAACUCCUCACCACUGUGUACCAGGGUUCUGCAGUGCAGGGUCCCCAGCUUUACUCUGAUCUUCUCCUGUGUUCCCAGCCAAUGAGCAGGGACCCAUUCUUUCCCACACAGUUCCCUAACUUCAAUACCAGGAGAGGUUACACAUUCAGUUUGCAUUACAAGGCCACCACUCACCACCACUCCAGGUAUCAUUUCCAGAAACCUGGUCCCUGUAUCUUCCCUUGGGGCAGCUGUUUUGGGGUCCCCGGGACCACACCAGUCCCAUGACUCACUAGGAGAACACACAGUACAGAGUCUAUGACCACCGUUUAUCAAAAUGGCGAUCUGUAAAGGCCAGGGAACAUGGCCAGAGCCUGGCGAACCUGAGGGAGCUCCCAGCAUGAGCUGUGAAAGGGCCCCAGGAAGAGGCUCACUGUCCACCCUAAUGGCCACCCUGAUGGCCACAGGCCUAGGUGAUGGAAGUGCACUGGUGAUGUUAGAAAGUCUCAUGAUAUGACAAGUUCUGCAUCUUUAUAACUAUUUCCCUCAUAAAAGACAACCUAGAAAAGUCUGGGAAUAAUAACAGCAAUCAUACUGGGGUUGGGUUUAUUUGCCUUUUUUCCUGGGUAUAUGUAUUUUCUGUAAUUUAUUAUUUUUAUGCAAGAAAAGAAACACUAGGAACAGCCCAGCACCACCAGCAGCUCCUGUUAGUUCCCACUGCUUGCCCAGAUGAGUGGACCUGAGGACCCAUACGGCCAUGGGGCACCUUCUGUCUGCCUUAUCCCCCAGCCUGGAUGUAGGUUCCGUGGGCUCCCACCAGGAGGAUCCCCCACAACCCUCACUUGUCGGUCCUGCUCUUCCAUUCUCUCCCACCACCCACCCAGAAGGCUCCAGGGCUGAGCAUCCUUGCUGGCAGGGUGCCCACAGUUCUCAGCCUUUAACCAGGGUUCCUGUUAAAAUGCAGGUGCCCAUCCAAGGACCAGGGGCCAGGCCCAGGCAUCGAGGGCCUGGUACAAUGCGGAUCCCUGCCGGCCUGUGUCAAAUGCUCAGGUGGACCCAGGGAUCUGCGUUUCUAACACAUUUCCUGGCCUGCCAGGCUCUUUAUCCCAGAGCACAUUUGGACCACGUGGGCACUUUUGAAUCUCUAGUGGGAUUCUAACAUAAGGGCUUGACACCUGUCCAGUGAGUGCUCUGAAGCCUGGCUGGUAACCACUGCCUGGGCUCAGUCUCUGCUCUCCAGCUCCUGCCUCUGUCCCACAGAAAACACAGUGGAUACAUUGCCUGGGCCACCUGCCUAGGUCAGGAGCCAUCACAGUGCACAAGGCCAGUCCUGAUGGGCAGAGGCCUCCCCUGGCAGAGAGGAAGGAUGGCUGCAGGCAACCCCGGCCUUGGUUGAUUAGGAGGUCUCUGGCGCCCCCUGCUGGUCAUUGUAGGACGCCAAGCGUAGCCUGCUGGUGUGUCUUUGAGAUGGACUGCCAGGAGCCUGUCCUGCUUUUCUGCGUUCCAGGCCACCUGCCCUGGCUCGCAACACAAGCACAGACAUUCCUCGGAUUCCUCUGGGACACUGCUCCUGCAUCCUUCACCCUGUCCCUCUUCUCCAUGGUCUCCUGCCUGUGAUGCGCUCUGGACAAAUCCAUGCUGCUUCCACGGUGUGGCCUCUGUAGAAUCUCAGCUGAGGCUGGGAUAGUGCCCCUCCUGCCCCGGACCACAUUCUGCAACGCCACUGGGGCCUGGCUCACUGCCUCCACCCCGUGCCCUGCCUGGCCACAAGUUUCUGCAGCCUCCAUCAUCCUCUCGGUCUCCCAGCUCCGCAUUCUGUUCCGUGUCCUCUAUUGUGCAGACAACAGUGCCCCCUGCCCUGCUUUGUUCCUCCCUGGGUGUCUCAGUCCGAUCAGCUCCUGGCUCAGUGGGCAAGGCCCAGGAUGUCAGGACUGGACACUCAGUGGACAGAGUGGGCUGUUUGCCUUCACCCAGAGCUAAAGCCCAGAGUCCCUUUCAGCUGUCCUCUCUGCUGCCCCUGCUGAGUCACAGGCCACAUGGUGCCGACAACCUCCACCCUGGCCAGCAUGAACCUCUGUCCUCCAUGCCCCCAAAACUCCCUAUAGAAGUGACCAAGUCCCUUGGGAAGCACCUCCCUUCUCCUCAGGGACUGGACAUCUCCUAAUGUCACCUAUGCUUGUUCUCAAGACUCACCAUAUUUGCUGUUUUAAUGAAGUAACUUCAUCAAAGAUCAUGACACCUAACUAACAUGAAAAAAGCCUUUUGGAUGAAAAGUGACCACUAAAGUUAAAUUUUCUGAAAAGGGUCAAA
Long non-coding RNA from Cavia porcellus (domestic guinea pig), 3262 nucleotides. RefSeq lists it as uncharacterized. Lineage: Eukaryota; Metazoa; Chordata; Mammalia; Rodentia; Caviidae. The record is from RefSeq and is a predicted model, not a curated record. The transcript is spliced from 2 exons.